Molecule: unclassified non-coding RNA, 373 nt
Filed under: fungal sp.
Lineage: Eukaryota; Fungi
Description: partial internal transcribed spacer region
Rfam family: Eukaryotic small subunit ribosomal RNA (bases 1-46)
Source: RNAcentral
AAGUCGUAACAAGGUUUCCGUAGGUGAACCUGCGGAAGGAUCAUUAACACGUAUUCAACGUUAAACCCCCCGUGAACCUUCAGUGCGCUCGCACUUUCUUAGAAAAGGUAGCAAUCCCUGGUAAAUGACCCGGUCGCCGGCCGUGUCGGCCUCUAGCGAUCGUGACUGCGCCAUUCGUACAGAGCUGGUGACACUUUCAGACACCAACAAGCAGAGGAAUGCCAGGCCACUUGCCUCAAGUCUACGCAGAAGUCCCUGAAUCAAAACUGUUCGGCAAUGACUGGGCGCGAGCCCCCCUCGUCAAAACGGGCCUGCGCUUAAUUGUGCGGCCACCAAACUCGAACAACUGUUAACAAUGGAUAUCUUGGUUCUC